This is a non-coding RNA of Spironucleus salmonicida, 73 nucleotides long. The record is from Rfam. NCBI's taxonomy places the organism in Eukaryota, Fornicata, Diplomonadida, Hexamitidae.
GCUCCAAUAGCUCAAUGGAUAGAGCGCUCGCCUCCUAAGCGAGAGGUUGUGGGUUCAAGUCCCAUUUGGAGUA